RNAcentral lists this ribosomal RNA (274 nucleotides) under uncultured bacterium. Its description in RNAcentral is "partial 16S ribosomal RNA". It matches the Rfam family "Bacterial small subunit ribosomal RNA", at positions 523 to 796 of the family's 1533-position model. The record is from RNAcentral.
AUACGGGGGGGGCGAGCGUUGUCCGGAAUCAUUGGGCGUAAAGGGUGAGUAGGCGGGAUGGUAAGUCAGAGGUGAAAGUCCAGGGCUCAACUCUGGAUCUGCCUCUGAUACUGCUGUCCUUGAGUGCGGGAGAGGGAAGUGGAAUUCCCGGUGUAGCGGUGAAAUGCGUAGAUAUCGGGAAGAACACCAGUGGCGAAGGCGGCUUCCUGGCCCGCAACUGACGCUGAAUCACGAAAGCGUGGGGAGCAAACAGGAUUAGAAACCCGAGUAGUCC